GAUGAACGCUAGCGGCAGGCCUAAUACAUGCAAGUCGAACGGUAAGGCCCUUUCGGGGGUACGACGAGUGGCGGACGGGUGCGUAACGCGUAUGCAACAUGCCUUCCAGCGGGGGAGUAUACCAGGGAAACUUGGCGCAAUACCCCACUAGAAUUACGGGACCGGCAUGGUCUUGUGAUUAAAACUACCGGUGCUGGGAGGAUUGGCAUGCGUGACAUUAGCUAGUUGGCGGGGUAACGGGCCCACCCAAGGCGACGAUGUCUAGCUGGUCUGAGAGGAGUGAUCAGCCACACUGGGACGUGAGACACGGCCCACGACUCCUACGGGAGGGCAGCAGUA
RNAcentral lists this ribosomal RNA (339 nucleotides) under uncultured bacterium. RNAcentral's name for it is "bacterial SSU rRNA". It matches the Rfam family "Bacterial small subunit ribosomal RNA", at positions 28 to 356 of the family's 1533-position model. The record is from RNAcentral.